This is a regulatory RNA element of Saccharophagus degradans 2-40, 90 nucleotides long. It matches the Rfam family "c-di-GMP-I riboswitch aptamer". Rfam says of the family: GEMM was predicted in a large-scale screen for bacterial structured RNA regulatory elements. Genes associated with GEMM are involved in a diverse array of functions, including chemotaxis regulation, signal transduction, secretion and chitin. The record is from Rfam. NCBI's taxonomy places the organism in Bacteria, Pseudomonadati, Pseudomonadota, Gammaproteobacteria, Cellvibrionales, Cellvibrionaceae.
CAACGAUAAAGGCAAACCCGCGGUAACGUGGGGACGCAAAGCCAGUGCCCAACUACUUGUAAUUUAAGAUUGGGUCGAACGGUUACCGAA